UAGGGAAUCUUCCGCAAUGGGCGAAAGCCUGACGGAGCAACGCCGCGUGAGUGAUGAAGGUCUUCGGAUCGUAAAACUCUGUUAUUAGGGAAGAACAAAUGUGUAAGUAACUAUGCACGUCUUGACGGUACCUAAUCAGAAAGCCACGGCUAACUACGUGCCAGCAGCUGCGGUAAUACGUAGGUGGCAAGCGUUAUCCGGAAUUAUUGGGCGUAAAGCGCGCGUAGGUGGUUUUUUAAGUCUGAUGUGAAAGCCCACGGCUCAACCGUGGAGGGUCAUUGGAAACUGGAAGACUUGAGUGCAGAAGGGGGAAGUGGAAUUCCAUGUGUAGCGGUGAAAUGCGCAGAGAUAUGGAGGAACACCAGUGGCGAAGGCGACUUUCUGGUCUGUAACUGACGCUGAUGUGCGAAAGCGGGGGGAUCAAACAGG
Molecule: ribosomal RNA, 429 nt
Filed under: Actinomycetes bacterium
Lineage: Bacteria; Bacillati; Actinomycetota; Actinomycetes
Description: Actinobacteria bacterium partial 16S ribosomal RNA
Rfam family: Bacterial small subunit ribosomal RNA
Source: RNAcentral